AUUGAACGCUGGCGGCGUGCUUAACACAUGCAAGUCGUGCGGUAACAGGCGUAGCAAUACGUGCUGACGAGCGGCGAACGGGUGCGUAAUACAAGGGAAUCUGCCCUUUAGUGGGGAAUAACCCGGCGAAAGCCGGGCUAAUGCCGCAUAAGAUCUUCGGAUGAAAGCGGGGGAGUCGUAAGACCUCGCGCUGAUGGAUGAGCCCACUGCCGGAUUAGUCAGUUGGUUGGAGGUAAAGGCUCACCAAGGCGACGAUCCGUAGCUGGUCUGAGAGGACGGCCAGCCACACUGGGAC
This 295-nucleotide ribosomal RNA is filed under the name uncultured bacterium. Its description in RNAcentral is "partial 16S ribosomal RNA". It matches the Rfam family "Bacterial small subunit ribosomal RNA", at positions 30 to 319 of the family's 1533-position model. The record is from RNAcentral.